RNAcentral lists this ribosomal RNA (366 nucleotides) under Klebsiella quasipneumoniae subsp. similipneumoniae. Its description in RNAcentral is "partial 23S ribosomal RNA". It matches the Rfam family "Bacterial large subunit ribosomal RNA", at positions 1399 to 1767 of the family's 2925-position model. The record is from RNAcentral. Lineage: Bacteria; Pseudomonadati; Pseudomonadota; Gammaproteobacteria; Enterobacterales; Enterobacteriaceae.
AGGCCGAAAGGCGUAGUCGAUGGGAAACAGGUUAAUAUUCCUGUACUUGGUGUUACUGCGAAGGGGGGACGGAGAAGGCUAUGUUAGCCGGGCGACGGUUGUCCCGGUUUAAGCAUGUAGGCUGGUUAUCCAGGCAAAUCCGGAUAAUCAAGGCUGAGGUGUGAUGACGAAGCACUACGGUGCUGAAGUAACAAAUGCCCUGCUUCCAGGAAAAGCCUCUAAGCAUCAGGUAACAUCAAAUCGUACCCCAAACCGACACAGGUGGUCAGGUAGAGAAUACCAAGGCGCUUGAGAGAACUCGGGUGAAGGAACUAGGCAAAAUGGUGCCGUAACUUCGGGAGAAGGCACGCUGGUGUGUAGGUGAAG